Non-coding RNA from Oncorhynchus mykiss (rainbow trout), 1236 nucleotides. The record is from RefSeq and is a predicted model, not a curated record. NCBI's taxonomy places the organism in Eukaryota, Metazoa, Chordata, Actinopteri, Salmoniformes, Salmonidae.
CGGUUUUGCCAAAUGAACAGGCAGGGCAGUUCCUACAGAGCGCGCUCAAAAUCAAAACUUCCUUCUUUGGCCCCACCGAUGUGCACACCGCUUUCAGUAUGGUGAGGACCACCCCCAGAGACUCUACAGCUACGAAUUUCUGCACUCCAUUACCCAGCAGGCAGUGCAUGUGGAGCGCUCUAUAAGGAAAGGCGGGGACCCGCUCACAGCUGAGGGUCAGUCUCUUUCUCCCUCAGCUGAGACCACUCUGGAGCAGCUGGCCCUGGUCACAGGCAUUAGGACACCAAGCCACAGUGACAGGCUCCUGGAUUUCAAACAGAAGCUGAUGGAACAGAGAGAGGCAGUUAACGCCAAACCAGACAACACACGCACAGAAACAGUGAACGAAGAAGAAGCAGAGGGGACAUCUAAAGGAGAGGAGGCUGUGGCAGUCCAGGAGAUCACCAGCGAGGUGCUCUCAGUAGAGGCAGGUCACAAUGAGAACCCAGCCAACAGACAGUGGACUGCCAUCAACUGGAGCCCAUUGAGGAGAACGUAGAGGUGGGCUCAGUAGUAGAGAGUGGAGCUUUUGGAUAAUCCAGUGAGGGAGAUGAAGACCGAGCUGCCCCAGAGGCUGAGCAGCACACAGGGGACAGAGGAUGGAGAGGCAGAAUUGAUGGUUACUGAGGAAACUGAGCCAGUAUAGAGGAGAGUCUGACACAAAAUGGAGGUUUGGAAUCUGACGGAAACAAAUCAGACAGUGAGAUGGAGAUAGUCAAUGAUAAGCCCGGGUCAGAUGUGAACAGAUCACCAGUGAUGACCAAUCAGAACAACAAGAGGGCGUUAUGAACGGGAAUGCCUCUAUCCAUCGUCCAAGCAAAACUAACCCUGACCACAGCAGAGGGUGAGAUGCUAGCUAACGGAACAUCUGUCAGAGGGAGGUUUUUUUUUUAAAGGGAUUAACAGAACAAAUAACCAAAGAGAAGCCAUAGGACAGACAAGGCAGUAGCAUAUUAAAGGGGAUGUUGAUUCAGCUGGAUCAGAAUCCUGAGAGCAGAUGGCUGUGGAGGAUGAAAGGGGAAAACGAGGAGAAAGAAUAUAGAAGUGUACCGUUCUCUUUUAUCUGGGUGGUUUACUGAUAUUGGGAAAGGGCUAAACUUAUUUGGUCUUUAUCACCAACGUUUUGGCAUCACUGUGCCAUCAGGGUUUAUGAAACAUGUAACUUCAUUGACUCUUAAAUAAACCAUUUCAAAAAAA